This 264-nucleotide signal recognition particle RNA is filed under the name Clostridiaceae bacterium. RNAcentral describes it as "signal recognition particle sRNA large type". It matches the Rfam family "Bacterial large signal recognition particle RNA". From Rfam's summary of the family: The signal recognition particle (SRP) is a universally conserved ribonucleoprotein involved in the co-translational targeting of proteins to membranes. Lineage: Bacteria; Bacillati; Bacillota; Clostridia; Eubacteriales; Clostridiaceae. The record is from RNAcentral.
UCGUGCUAAACGGGGAGUUAGCGGUGCCCUGAACCUGCAAUCCGCUAUAGCAGGGUCUAAUUCCUACCAGAGGCUUUCCUCUGUGAGGUCUGCCCUAUGCAAGUGACGAUGAGAAUCGGGUCUUACGCAAUGAAAGGCUGUGAACCCCGUCAGGUCCGGAAGGAAGCAGCGGUAAGCAGAUUAUUUCAUGUGCCGUGAGGUUGCCUGGUUUGAGUUAACUACACAGGUAACGCUUGUAGAUGCAUGUCGAAGGUAGGUGCACGG